CAUUCUCUCUCGUCUCCGAGCUGCUGCUUCGGACCUCCGUGGCGCCCGGUGCCUUUAUAAGAAGAGGGGCGAGAGGGAGCGCUGAGAGCCCCCCCGCUCCCCCCAGGAGAUGCCCCUAGAAAGGACUCCCGUGCACAGGUUGCCCACUGGGUACAAGUGCCAGUAUCCUGUUAGGAAAUGUCCUUGUUUGCUCAGAUAGUGACUCGUACACACUUAUGCUCUGCAAGGCCACACACUUAUAUCUACAAGACCCGAUCGUCCGCUGCACCCCGACCGACCUGCUACGCUCCUCCACCUCUACCCAGUCGGUGGUCCGACAUACAGAAGGUCCAAAAGCGCGAAGGUUCUCGGUUCUGGAUCCGUUGUGGUGGAACGACUU
This is a long non-coding RNA of Scleropages formosus (Asian bonytongue), 379 nucleotides long. RefSeq lists it as uncharacterized. NCBI's taxonomy places the organism in Eukaryota, Metazoa, Chordata, Actinopteri, Osteoglossiformes, Osteoglossidae. The transcript is spliced from 3 exons. The record is from RefSeq and is a predicted model, not a curated record.